Molecule: long non-coding RNA, 338 nt
Filed under: Homo sapiens (human)
Lineage: Eukaryota; Metazoa; Chordata; Mammalia; Primates; Hominidae
Description: non-protein coding lnc-EDDM13-1:1
Source: RNAcentral
GGUGGGUGACCAGAGAGUCCUGUCUAUCCUAGGAGGAGAACAUUCAGCCCAAAUCCCAGCCCCAUCAUGCACAGAUCAGAGCCAUUUCUGAAAAUGUCGCUGCUGAUUCUGCUUUUCCUGGGAUUGGCAGAAGCCUGUACUCCUCGUGAAGAUGAUGACUUGCAGAAAGGGGACAAGGUCUCAUGAGCAGACUGUCACCGGAUGGCUUGCUGAGCCUCCAAGUACUGCAUGAAGAAACAAGUGGCUGCAAGGAGGAAGGUAAUUAAACCCUUCUCAGGCACCACCCCAUCCAGGAAACCACUCCCCAAGAGGAAGAACACGUGGAACUUCCUGAAAUG